RNAcentral lists this non-coding RNA (734 nucleotides) under Arboridia sp. 1 NZ-2023a. Lineage: Eukaryota; Metazoa; Arthropoda; Insecta; Hemiptera; Cicadellidae. The record is from RNAcentral.
UAAUAGAGUUUGAUUUAUUCUUAAUGGUUUAUUUUUAAUAACAGUUAUAUGGUUUUUAUUUAAAUUAAUUAUUUUCCAGUAGUAAGGUUUUAUUUAUAUAUUUAAUUAUAUUAAGGUAUUUAUUUUUUAUGGAUUAAUAUUGUGCCAGCAUUCGCGGUUAUACAAUUUAUAAAAAUAAAUCUGAUUAGUUUUAAUUUUUUAUAUUGAAUUAAAUAUAUUUUUAUUUAGGUGGAAUUUUUAUUUUUAUUAUUAAUUCUUUUUAAUUUUUAUUAAAUUAUUAUUUUUAAAUUAGGAUUAGAUACCCUAUUAUUGAUUAAUUUAGUUUUAAUAGCUUUAACAUUAAUAGUUAUUUUCUAUUAAAUUUGAAUAAUUUGGCGGUAAUUUAUAUUUAGGGGAACCUGUUCUUAAAUUGAUAAACCACGAUAGGUUUUACUUAUAAUUUAUUUGUAUAUCUCUAUAUUAAGGAUUAUUUUUAUAAAAAUUUUUUUUUUCUAUUUAUAUAGAUUUAUAUUAGGUCAAGGUGCAGUUUUUUUUAAGUUAGUGUGGGUUACUUUAAUUUUAAAUAUUUUAGGAUAAUUUUAUUUAAUUUAAUUUAAAAUAGGAUUUAAAAGUAAUUUUGGAUUAUUAUUCAUUUUGAAUUUAUUUCUAAAUUAUGUACAUAUUGCCCGUCACUCUCAUUAUUACUUGGGAUAAGUCGUAACAAAGUAAUUGUACUGGAAAGUGUAAUUAGAAUU